RNAcentral lists this ribosomal RNA (857 nucleotides) under Salmonella enterica subsp. enterica. Its description in RNAcentral is "partial 23S ribosomal RNA". It matches the Rfam family "Bacterial large subunit ribosomal RNA", at positions 711 to 1566 of the family's 2925-position model. The record is from RNAcentral. Lineage: Bacteria; Pseudomonadati; Pseudomonadota; Gammaproteobacteria; Enterobacterales; Enterobacteriaceae.
AGACCCGAAACCCGGUGAUCUAGCCAUGGGCAGGUUGAAGGUUGGGUAACACUAACUGGAGGACCGAACCGACUAAUGUUGAAAAAUUAGCGGAUGACCUGUGGCUGGGGGUGAAAGGCCAAUCAAACCGGGAGAUAGCUGGUUCUCCCCGAAAGCUAUUUAGGUAGCGCCUCGUGAAUUCAUCUCCGGGGGUAGAGCACUGUUUCGGCUAGGGGGCCAUCCCGGCUUACCAACCCGAUGCAAACUGCGAAUACCGGAGAAUGUUAUCACGGGAGACACACGGCGGGUGCUAACGUCCGUCGUGAAGAGGGAAACAACCCAGACCGCCAGCUAAGGUCCCAAAGUCAUGGUUAAGUGGGAAACGAUGUGGGAAGGCCCAGACAGCCAGGAUGUUGGCUUAGAAGCAGCCAUCAUUUAAAGAAAGCGUAAUAGCUCACUGGUCGAGUCGGCCUGCGCGGAAGAUGUAACGGGGCUAAACCAUGCACCGAAGCUGCGGCAGCGACGCUGAUGCGUUGUUGGGUAGGGGAGCGUUCUGUAAGCCUGUGAAGGUGUGUCGUGAGGCAUGCUGGAGGUAUCAGAAGUGCGAAUGCUGACAUAAGUAACGAUAAAGCGGGUGAAAAGCCCGCUCGCCGGAAGACCAAGGGUUCCUGUCCAACGUUAAUCGGGGCAGGGUGAGUCGACCCCUAAGGCGAGGCCGAAAGGCGUAGUCGAUGGGAAACGGGUUAAUAUUCCCGUACUUGGUGUUACUGCGAAGGGGGGACGGAGAAGGCUAUGUUGGCCGGGCGACGGUUGUCCCGGUUUAAGCGUGUAGGUGUGUGUUCCAGGUAAAUCCGGUUCACUUUAACACUGAGGCGUGA